UAAAAGCUGCCACAAGAAUAAACCAAAGUC
Molecule: non-coding RNA, 30 nt
Filed under: Rattus norvegicus (Norway rat)
Lineage: Eukaryota; Metazoa; Chordata; Mammalia; Rodentia; Muridae
Source: RNAcentral